Molecule: ribosomal RNA, 739 nt
Filed under: uncultured Glomerales
Lineage: Eukaryota; Fungi; Glomeromycota; Glomeromycetes; Glomerales; Glomeraceae
Description: LSU rRNA
Rfam family: Eukaryotic large subunit ribosomal RNA
Source: RNAcentral
GCAUAUCAAUAAGCGGAGGAAAAGAAACCAACAGGGAUUGCCCUAGUAACGGCGAGUGAAGCGGCAACAGCUCAAAUUUGAAAUCUGGCUCCGGCCCGAGUUGUAAUUUGCAGAGGAAGCUUCUGGUGCGGCACCGUCCGAGUCCCCUGGAACGGGGCGCCAUAGAGGGUGAGAGCCCCGUAUGGAUGAAUGCUAAUCCUGUGUGAAGCCCCUUCGACGAGUCGAGUAGUUUGGGAAUGCUGCUCAAAAUGGGAGGUAAAUUUCUCCUAAGGCUAAAUAUUGGCGAGAGACCGAUAGCGAACAAGUACCGUGAGGGAAAGAUGAAAAGAACUUUGAAAAGAGAGUUAAACAGUACGUGAAAUUGUUGAAAGGGAAACGAUUGAAGUCAGUCAUACCAACGGGAAAUCAACCUUCUGAGCUUGGUCUCGUGGGUUUUGAAGAGUUUCAAAGCCUUCGGAUUCGCGGGAUUGGGAUCUCUUGGUGUACUUUUUCGUACGGUUAGUCAACAUCGGUUUUGAAUGUCAUAAAAUGACUGGAGGAAUGUAGCUUCAAUCUCGUAUUGAAGUGUUAUAGACUUUGGUAGAUGUGAUGUUUGAGACCGAGGAUUGCAACGGAUACCCUUCAGGGCUAUUCGUCUGAUCUCUGAUACGUUGCCUUGAUGUUGAAAGCUUGCUUAUGAUGUUAGGGUAUUACGGUCAAAAGGUUAGAACGAAUUACAUUCGUUAAGGAUGUUGACGUA